UACAGAGGGGGCAAGCGUUGUUCGGAAUUAUUGGGCGUAAAGGGCGCGUAGGCGGCUUUUCAAGUGACGGGUGAAAUCCCUCGGCUUAACCGAGGAACUGCCUGUCAGACUGGAAGGCUUGAGACCGGGAGAGGUGAGUGGAAUUCCCAGUGUAGCGGUGAAAUGCGUAGAUAUUGGGAGGAACACCAGUGGCGAAGGCGGCUCACUGGACCGGUACUGACGCUGAGGCGCGAAAGCGUGGGGAGCAAACAGG
Molecule: ribosomal RNA, 253 nt
Filed under: uncultured bacterium
Lineage: Bacteria
Description: partial 16S ribosomal RNA
Rfam family: Bacterial small subunit ribosomal RNA
Source: RNAcentral